UGAGUAACACGUGGGUAACCUGCCUGUAAGACUGGGAUAACUCCGGGAAACCGGGGCUAAUACCGGAUGGUUGUUUGAACCGCAUGGUUCAAACAUAAAAGGUGGCUUCGGCUACCACUUACAGAUGGACCCGCGGCGCAUUAGCUAGUUGGUGAGGUAACGGCUCACCAAGGCAACGAUGCGUAGCCGACCUGAGAGGGUGAUCGGCCACACUGGGACUGAGACACGGCCCAGACUCCUACGGGAGGCAGCAGUAGGGAAUCUUCCGCAAUGGACGAAAGUCUGACGGAGCAACGCCGCGUGAGUGAUGAAGGUUUUCGGAUCGUAAAGCUCUGUUGUUAGGGAAGAACAAGUACCGUUCGAAUAGGGCGGUACCUUGACGGUACCUAACCAGAAAGCCACGGCUAACUACGUGCCAGCAGCCGCGGUAAUACGUAGGUGGCAAGCGUUGUCCGGAAUUAUUGGGCGUAAAGGGCUCGCAGGCGGUUUCUUAAGUCUGAUGUGAAAGCCCCCGGCUCAACCGGGGAGGGUCAUUGGAAACUGGGGAACUUGAGUGCAGAAGAGGAGAGUGGAAUUCCACGUGUAGCGGUGAAAUGCGUAGAGAUGUGGAGGAACACCAGUGGCGAAGGCGACUCUCUGGUCUGUAACUGACGCUGAGGAGCGAAAGCGUGGGGAGCGAACAGGAUUAGAUACCCUGGUAGUCCACGCCGUAAACGAUGAGUGCUAAGUGUUAGGGGGGUUUCCGCCCCUUAGUGCUGCAGCUAACGCAUUAAGCACUCCGCCUGGGGAGUACGGUCGCAAGACUGAAACUCAAAGGAAUUGACGGGGGCCCGCACAAGCGGUGGAGCAUGUGGUUUAAUUCGAAGCAACGCGAAGAACCUUACCAGGUCUUGACAUCCUCUGACAAUCCUAGAGAUAGGACGUCCCCUUCGGGGGCAGAGUGACAGGUGGUGCAUGGUUGUCGUCAGCUCGUGUCGUGAGAUGUUGGGUUAAGUCCCGCAACGAGCGCAACCCUUGAUCUUAGUUGCCAGCAUUCAGUUGGGCACUCUAAGGUGACUGCCGGUGACAAACCGGAGGAAGGUGGGGAUGACGUCAAAUCAUCAUGCCCCUUAUGACCUGGGCUACACACGUGCUACAAUGGACAGAACAAAGGGCAGCGAAACCGCGAGGUUAAGCCAAUCCCACAAAUCUGUUCUCAGUUCGGAUCGCAGUCUGCAACUCGACUGCGUGAAGCU
This 1235-nucleotide ribosomal RNA is filed under the name Bacillus thuringiensis. RNAcentral describes it as "bacterial SSU rRNA". It matches the Rfam family "Bacterial small subunit ribosomal RNA", at positions 107 to 1327 of the family's 1533-position model. Lineage: Bacteria; Bacillati; Bacillota; Bacilli; Caryophanales; Bacillaceae. The record is from RNAcentral.